RNAcentral lists this ribosomal RNA (61 nucleotides) under Gibellulopsis nigrescens. RNAcentral describes it as "partial 28S ribosomal RNA". Lineage: Eukaryota; Fungi; Ascomycota; Sordariomycetes; Glomerellales; Plectosphaerellaceae. The record is from RNAcentral.
GUUGACCUCGGAUCAGGUAGGAAUACCCGCUGAACUUAAGCAUAUCAAGUCGGGAGGAAAA